UGGGGAAUAUUGGACAAUGGGCGGAAGCCUGAUCCAGCCAUGCCGCGUGAGUGAUGAAGGCCUUCGGGUUGUAAAGCUCUUUCGCACGCGACGAUGAUGACGGUAGCGUGAGAAGAAGCCCCGGCUAACUUCGUGCCAGCAGCCGCGGUAAUACGAAGGGGGCUAGCGUUGUUCGGAAUUACUGGGCGUAAAGGGCGCGUAGGCGGCUAUCCAAGUCAGGCGUGAAAGCCCCGGGCUUAACCUGGGAACUGCGCUUGAGACUGGGUGGCUAGAGUACCGGAGAGGUGGGUGGAAUUCCCAGUGUAGAGGUGAAAUUCGUAGAUAUUGGGAAGAACACCGGUGGCGAAGGCGGCCCACUGGACGGUAACUGACGCUGAGGCGCGAAAGCGUGGGGAGCAAA
This 400-nucleotide ribosomal RNA is filed under the name uncultured bacterium. RNAcentral's name for it is "bacterial SSU rRNA". It matches the Rfam family "Bacterial small subunit ribosomal RNA", at positions 355 to 772 of the family's 1533-position model. The record is from RNAcentral.